UUGCAACCGUCUUUCACCUAUUCAGUCCGUUUUUUCAGUUUUCUUUGCUUGCUUCGAGCCAUUUUCAUUAGCGCGAGGCUGUCUGCGAGCACAACAGGGACGGUUGUAAUCAGCAGCCAUAGACUGUGAAGUGGGAGAACCUAAACGUGACGUCAAUGCCUAGUAACUGACGCAGCCCUCAAAAAGAGAGAUUCUGCAAGCUUUAAUUAUCGUUUGUGUGCUGCUCUAAAGACAAAACAUAUUCCGAUUAGGGUUGUUUGUGCGCGAGUCCGUGGAUGUGUCUCUCUGUGUGUGUGUGUGUGUGUGAGUGAGUGCGUGCGUACGUGUUUUCGUCUUUAUGAGCAGCGAGUUUCCAACCGAAAGUUGCAUGGAGACACACCGCGUAUAAUAAAGAGGACGGUGAGCGACAUAAAGGGACGAGGAGAGCGGGGACAACUUGUGCUGAGAAAAAGAAAUAUUUAGCCCGUGUGAGAGAGGGGCACUGAAGCAGUUCGUUUGAAAGCACAAAAAACACUGCAGCGAUGCAUCGGAGGCGAGUCGGAACCUUUGCAUGGAGUUGGAAAGGCAAAAUUAAUGUACAUUACAUGCACUCCACGUAACGCUACUGAGCGAUGUCUUUCCAGGGCUUGCUGCACUGCAGGGCGAAACUUCAAUGGAUCAAGUACAGGAGCUGAAAAAUGAACGGCUCGAGUCACCGAACGAUCCCUGAGUGAAGGGUGACGUCACUGUCUUCAAAAUCUGCUGCUGACUUAACGUCAAAGCAAAAAGCAGGAUGUGAAUCUGAACUGACUGCACUCCUCAAGGAAAGAGAAAGACGGCUGAGCGGAAUGCAAGCUGACGGAGAAAAAAGCGGGAGUUGACCGACAAACGAGCAUGGCAAAGGCCUCAGCCGUGAGGAUACAGUGAGGAGAAUAUAUGGUUGGUCAUCUGAAGCAGAAGCUUCACAUGUGAGAGGAGAAAAUAAUAAGGAUGAAAAAUCUGGGAAAUAUUUACCUGGGAUCCUGCGCACAAGCUCAACGUCUGUUGGACAGCUUUUUUCCCACCUGUAAAUGGAUAUUCAGCAAGUUGAUUUACUUUAUAGGAGCAAGAUAACACUGUCAGGUAUUUGCAAUAUUUGUCUGUACUUGGUGAGCUUUUUAAUAAAUCAACUGGAUUUGUAUUUAUGCCACAUAUGCAGACGUCUGUAACGUGUAAGCUUUGAACUGCAUGAGACAUCAGAUAAUAUGAAAAUGAUAACGUAUUAACAGCUAAGACUAAGAAAAAAAAUAUAAUAAUAAUAAUAUAUAGAUAUAUAUUAAAUUAAGGCUAAUUAUAGAUAUAGAUAAAAAUCACAGAUGAAAAUAUUAAUAAGUAAAUGUGCAGACGAGACGCACGUGAGCACUUUGUGUUGAGUUUUGUUGUUAUAAUAACCUGCAGAAGUUAAUAUUAUAUGUAAUAUUAUUUGUUCUUAUUAAAUAAUGACUUAUAUGUAGAUUGAAAUGCAUUUGUUGUGACUUAAGAAAUAAGAACGUGUGCGUAAAACGAGCGCAGAGACGUCUGCGUGGCUGCGUCUGUAGAAGUGUAUGUAGAAAUGUAUGAACAUUACAGGCGCCAGCUUUUUAGGCUUGUGCUUUUUAUAAUUGUGAAGGCUGCAUGUUUAUGGCGUCCUAAGAGUUUGUUUAACGUGUUGAUUUAAGCUUCAGAAGUUUGAACGGAGGAUUUGUGCUGUCAUGCGUUCGCUGUCCACUGCACGUGGUGCUGAAACGCGCUGCUCCUGACGUACCACACGUGGCCUAAAUGAACUUAGGCGUAAAUAUAAUGCUUUUAAAACUUGUUCUUUCGCUAGAUAUGUUUAUUAUAUUGUGUAUAUGUGAUAUACUGCAUCAAUAGUUUUAGGACGCAUUUGGAGUGUUUUAAUAAAUGUGAAACAUUAGUGAUAAGAGGUCAAAAGGGUGCAGGGGAAAGAAAAGGGAGCAUAUUUGAAAUUAAACAACGAUUAUUAAAGAUUGAGUUUGUGUUAGGAUUUCUGAUGUAGAUCAAUGAGCGUUGAAGACUGAAAGCUGGAAUGUGUAAUGUGUUACUUAAAAGAGUGAGACGAUACGUGUGUAUGUGUGAGUGUGUGAGGGAGAGAGAGAAGGGGGACUGUCGACAAGAAUGUUUUGAGAUUUGCUACAAAAAAGAUGAAUGUAGUAAAUAAUCUAAAUUUUGCAUUAUUUUAUUACCAGAUUAUUUUAUUAUAGUAGCUACCACAAUAAAAACCAACCCAGUGCACUGUGAAGCUGAAUAUGUGUUGUUGUUAUAUAUAAUUAUACGAUUUAUCUGCUUAUCUGUUUUUAGAUAAUAAAGCUCUAAAUGUGUUUGAAGAUUUGAGCUGAAUUAAGUAACAUGAGUUGCAUGUGGUUGCUGCAGUGUGGACAAUGUACGAACGUAACGUGUGGGUUCUGUACUUCUGUGUAUUUGUAUGAUUUUUUUUAUAGUGGGCUUUAUUAUACUAACAUGCGACCUUGACAAAAUAUUUAGCUGUUUUAUUGUGUAACUUAAGCUGUGUGAAUAAUGUACAGAUGAUUAAAUAGGGUGUUAUUAAAGUGCCUGCACGUUGCAAAAUCCUUCCAUGAGGUUUGUUGUACUCAUCACAUUUAUGUUAUGUGAAAUAUGUUCUCCUCAAACUGCUUGUUUUUAUAUGCUCUGUCAU
Danio aesculapii is the source of this 2671-nucleotide long non-coding RNA. RefSeq lists it as uncharacterized. The record is from RefSeq and is a predicted model, not a curated record. NCBI's taxonomy places the organism in Eukaryota, Metazoa, Chordata, Actinopteri, Cypriniformes, Danionidae. The transcript is spliced from 6 exons.